Rhagoletis pomonella (apple maggot) is the source of this 603-nucleotide long non-coding RNA. RefSeq lists it as uncharacterized. NCBI's taxonomy places the organism in Eukaryota, Metazoa, Arthropoda, Insecta, Diptera, Tephritidae. The transcript is spliced from 4 exons. The record is from RefSeq and is a predicted model, not a curated record.
CAAUAAUGAAAGGUGUUAUACGUUGGCAACUUCUCGCUCUAAUCCGCCAUCUUGAACUACCUUAGGAGAAACAGUGUUGUUUCUUUGCUAUUUUCACUGAACAUUUCCCAAAAUAUUAGAAAAAAAUUCUGAACAAGCUACAUUGAUUCAAUUUUCGUUGUUCGUUUUGUUCUUAUUCGCUGACAUUUGUUUUCCAAUUGCGUGAAAUUUGGUCAUUUCCUUAGUGUUUCGCUGACCGACCUGUGCUGGUAUUGUGAUUAAGAGCUAAUACACAUUUUUCGGACGAUUCUGCUGUGCUGCGUUCCUGCUCCGCCUGUAUAUUGCUCCGCCCGUAUUUUAUAGUGUUGCGUUCCUGUUGCGCCUUUGCAUUAGUGUGUGCGUUGUGAUUUAGACACGUUGAAAUUUUUUGUAUGCUUCUGCUGUGCUGCGUUCCUGCUCCACCCGUGUAUUAGAUUGCUGCGUUCCUGUUAACAUACAUAUCGUCGCUUAAAGUACAAAACCGCGUAACUGACAUUUGCUGCUAAAAAUUGGAUUCGCUCACACACGUUUUUGGAUCAAUCCUUAUCCAUUCUUCCUGAAAUAUACUAGCCAAAAAUGCGAUUG